CAACACUUGUUAUAGGAUACCUUGAAAAGAUAGCCUGUGACCAAAAUUUCGAUUUCAACAGUUCUUUCUGGCUAGUGGAACUGGAGGACGAGGACUGUUGUCUGUCAUUCUGAAGCAAGACCUUUGGGGCCCUUUCAAGAAGCAGCUUGAGCGCUCUUCCUCUCAGGACCAUAUGGCAGCACAGAUGAAAAAAUGCAAGAACACCUCAAAGCAGACUGGCUUCUACAGCAGCAAACACCUAUCAACAGCCUGCCCCCAAUUCACCCUUCCUUUUUGAAGAAAUGAACAGAACCUAAGGCUGGACUUGGGCAGGGCCUUGCAGCAGAGCCUCAAGAACGCUCGGUACAGCUCAAAACCCUCGGUGAGGAAAUAGCAGCAAACACAUAUUUGCACCUCACAGCUUUAUCAAGGCUGGCUCCCCUGAACGGUCAGUCGCCAGCACCAAUAGGAGGCCCCGUGGAAGCACCAUGUGAGGUAAAGCUUUGUCUGCCUCCUGACUGACUGUACUCUUUGCCUCUCAGGCCACAGCAUCAGGGAAAGCUGGUUAGAUGGAGUCAGUCUCUGAAAAUCAGUCUGUGAUCUGGUUUAUUCACUUGAGACAGGGCCACUGUGUCAGCCGCAGCUGUGUGGUUCAGCGCCUUCGCGGAGAGGGCUGCUGCUGUCUCUGCUCCCUUGACUGCCCAGAGGAUGGAAUGGAGAAGUGCUCAGGCAGAAAGAAGGGUCAGCAGG
This is a long non-coding RNA of Myotis myotis, 729 nucleotides long. RefSeq lists it as uncharacterized. The record is from RefSeq and is a predicted model, not a curated record. NCBI's taxonomy places the organism in Eukaryota, Metazoa, Chordata, Mammalia, Chiroptera, Vespertilionidae. The transcript is spliced from 3 exons.